UACGACGUAUCAGAGUUUGAUCCUGGCUCAGGAUGAACGCUAGCUACAGGCUUAACACAUGCAAGUCGAGGGGUUUCGAAGAGCUUGCUCCGAGAAACGACCGGCGCACGGGUGAGUAACGCGUAUCCAACCUGCCCUUCAUAUUGGGAUAGCCUUCCGAAAGGGAGAUUAAUACCGAAUAACAUAGAGUGGUUGCCUGAUUUCUCUAUGAAAGCUCCGGCGAUGAAGGAUGGGGAUGCGUUCCAUUAGGUAGUAGGCGGGGUAACGGCCCACCUAGCCGACGAUGGAUAAGGGUUCUGAGAGGAAGGUCCCCCACACUGGAACUGAGACACGGUCCAG
RNAcentral lists this ribosomal RNA (339 nucleotides) under uncultured bacterium. RNAcentral describes it as "bacterial SSU rRNA". It matches the Rfam family "Bacterial small subunit ribosomal RNA", at positions 1 to 334 of the family's 1533-position model. The record is from RNAcentral.